This 465-nucleotide ribosomal RNA is filed under the name uncultured bacterium. RNAcentral's name for it is "partial 16S ribosomal RNA". It matches the Rfam family "Bacterial small subunit ribosomal RNA", at positions 338 to 795 of the family's 1533-position model. The record is from RNAcentral.
CCUACGGGAGGCAGCAGUAGGGAAUCUUCCACAAUGGGCGAAAGCCUGAUGGAGCAACGCCGCGUGUGUGAAGAAGGUCUUCGGAUCGUAAAACCCUUUUGUUAGAGAAGAAAGUGCGUGAGAGUAACUGUUCGCGUUUCGACGGUAUCUACCCAGAAAGCCACGGCUAACUACGUGCCAGCAGCCGCGGUAAUACGGAGGUGGCAAGCGUUAUCAGGAUUUAUUGGGCGUAAAGGGAACGCAGGCGGUCUUUUAAGUCUGAUGUGAAAGCCUUGGGCUUAACCUGAGUAGUGCAUUGGAAACUGGGAGUCUUGAGUGCAGGAGAGGUGAGUGGAACUCCAGGUGUAGCGGUGAAAUGCGUAGAGAUAUGGAGGAACACCAGUGGCGAAAGCGGCUCUCUGGUCGGUAACUGACGCUGAGGUUCGAAAGCGUGGGUAGCAAACAGGAUUAGAUACCCUUGUAGUC